Molecule: ribosomal RNA, 468 nt
Filed under: uncultured bacterium
Lineage: Bacteria
Description: partial 16S ribosomal RNA
Rfam family: Bacterial small subunit ribosomal RNA
Source: RNAcentral
GACGAACGCUGGCGGCGUGCUUAACACAUGCAAGUCGAACGGAAAGGCCCUGCUUUUGUGGGGUGCUCGAGUGGCGAACGGGUGAGUAACACGUGAGUAACCUGCCCUUGACUUUGGGAUAACUUCAGGAAACUGGGGCUAAUACCGGAUAGGAGCUCCUGCUGCAUGGUGGGGGUUGGAAAGUUUCGGCGGUUGGGGAUGGACUCGCGGCUUAUCAGCUUGUUGGUGGGGUAGUGGCUUACCAAGGCUUUGACGGGUAGCCGGCCUGAGAGGGUGACCGGCCACAUUGGGACUGAGAUACGGCCCAGACUCCCACGGGAGGCAGCAGUGGGGAAUAUUGCACAAUGGGCGGAAGCCUGAUGCAGCAACGCCGCGUGCGGGAUGACGGCCUUCGGGUUGUGAACCGCUUUCGCCUGUGACGAAGCGUGAGUGACGGUAAUGGGUAAAGAAGCACCGGCUAACUACGUG